RNAcentral lists this ribosomal RNA (500 nucleotides) under uncultured bacterium. RNAcentral describes it as "partial 16S ribosomal RNA". It matches the Rfam family "Bacterial small subunit ribosomal RNA", at positions 30 to 523 of the family's 1533-position model. The record is from RNAcentral.
AUUGAACGCUGGCGGCAUGCUUUACACAUGCAAGUCGAACGGCAGCACGGACUUCGGUCUGGUGGCGAGUGGCGAACGGGUGAGUAAUAUAUCGGAACGUACCCUGGAGUGGGGGAUAACGUAGCGAAAGUUACGCUAAUACCGCAUACGAUCUAAGGAUGAAAGUGGGGGAUCGCAAGACCUCAUGCUCCUGGAGCGGCCGAUAUCUGAUUAGCUAGCUGGUGAGGUAAAGGCUCACCAAGGCGACGAUCAGUAGCUGGUCUGAGAGGACACCCAGCCACACUUGAACUGAGACACGUUCCAGACUCCUACGGGAGGCAGCAGUGGGGAAUUUUGGACAAUGGGGGCAACCCUGAUCCAGCAAUGCCGCGUGAGUGAAGAAGGCCUUCGGGUUGUAAAGCUCUUUUGUCAGGGAAGAAACGGGCUUGGCUAAUAUCCAGGCCUAAUGACGGUACCUGAAGAAUAAGCACCGGCUAACUACGUGCCAGCCGCCGCAGUAA